This 253-nucleotide ribosomal RNA is filed under the name uncultured bacterium. RNAcentral's name for it is "partial 16S ribosomal RNA". It matches the Rfam family "Bacterial small subunit ribosomal RNA", at positions 524 to 776 of the family's 1533-position model. The record is from RNAcentral.
UACGAAGGGGGCUAGCGUUGCUCGGAAUCACUGGGCGUAAAGGGUGCGUAGGCGGCGCGGUAAGUCGGGUGUGAAAUCUCGGAGCUUAACUCCGAAACUGCAUUCGAUACUGCCGUGCUUGAGGACUGGAGAGGAGACUGGAAUUCCUGGUGUAGCGGUGAAAUGCGCAGAUAUCAGGAGGAACACCGAUGGCGAAGGCAGGUCUCUGGGCCACUACUGACGCUGAGAAGCGAAAGCAUGGGGAGCGAACAGG